Molecule: small RNA, 110 nt
Filed under: Salmonella enterica subsp. enterica serovar Typhi
Lineage: Bacteria; Pseudomonadati; Pseudomonadota; Gammaproteobacteria; Enterobacterales; Enterobacteriaceae
Description: StyR-285
Source: RNAcentral
AUAAGAAUACUCACCGUGGUCACUUUCCAGGUCCAGUAGCGGUAGCCAUGAUUCGCCAUUAUCCUGGGAAGCAAUCAGUGAAAGCGGAUAGCGCUUUCCCCAGUUGCCGU